UUAAGCAUAUCAAUAAGCGGAGGAAAAGAAACUAACAAGGAUUCCCCUAGUAACUGCGAGUGAAGCGGGAAAAGCUCAAAUUUGAAAUCUGGCAGUUUUUGACUGUCCGAGUUGUAAUCUAGAGAAGUGUUACCUGUGCUGGACCAUGUACAAGUCUCCUGGAAUGGAGCAUCAUAGAGGGUGAGAAUCCCGUCUUUGACAUGGACUACCUGUACAAUAUGGUGUGCUCUCAAAGAGUCGAGUUGUUUGGGAAUGCAGCUCAAAAUGGGUGGUAAAUGCCAUCUAAAGCUAAAUAUUGGCGAGAGACCGAUAGCGAACAAGUACCGUGAGGGAAAGAUGAAAAGAACUUUGGAAAGAGAGUUAAACAGUACGUGAAAUUGCUGAAAGGGAAACGCUUGAAGUCAGUCAUGUUAGCUGGAAAUCAGCCUUGCUUUUGCURGGUGUACUUUCUGGCUGAUGGGUCAGCAUCAAUUUUGACCAUUGGAAAAAGUCUUUGGGAAUGUGGCAUCUUCUGGAUGUGUUAUAGCCCUAAUUCGCAUACAAUGGUUGGGAUUGAGGAAUUCAGCACACCACUAUGGCUGGGUCAUUGACCACAUUUUUGUGCUUAGGAUGCUGGCAUAAUGGCUUUAAUCGACCCGUCUUGAAACACGGACCAAGGAGUCUAACAUGCCUGCGAGUGUUUGGGUGGAAAACCCAUGCGCGCAAUGAAAGUGAAAGUUGAGAUCCCCUUCAAGGGAGCAUUGACGCCCGGACCAGACCUUUUGUGACGGAUCCGCGGUAGAGCAUGUAUGUUGGGACCCGAAAGAUGGUGAACUAUGCCUGAAUAGGGUGAAGCCAGAGGAAACUCUGGUGGAGGCUCGUAGCGAUUCUGACGUGCAAAUCGAUCGUCAAAUUUGGGUAUAGGGGCGAAAGACUAAUCGAACCAUCUAGUAGCUGGUUCCUGCC
Molecule: ribosomal RNA, 945 nt
Filed under: Inocybe fulvotomentosa
Lineage: Eukaryota; Fungi; Basidiomycota; Agaricomycetes; Agaricales; Inocybaceae
Description: eukaryotic LSU rRNA
Rfam family: Eukaryotic large subunit ribosomal RNA
Source: RNAcentral